GUGCCAGCCGCCGCGGUAAUACGGAGGGUGCAAGCGUUAAUCGGAAUUACUGGGCGUAAAGCGCGCGUAGGUGGCUUGAUAAGCCGGUUGUGAAAGCCCCGGGCUCAACCUGGGAACGGCAUCCGGAACUGUCAGGCUAGAGUGCAGGAGAGGAAGGUAGAAUUCCCGGUGUAGCGGUGAAAUGCGUAGAGAUCGGGAGGAAUACCAGUGGCGAAGGCGGCCUUCUGGACUGACACUGACACUGAGGUGCGAAAGCGUGGGUAGCAAACAGGAUUAGAUACCCCAGUAGUCC
This 292-nucleotide ribosomal RNA is filed under the name uncultured prokaryote. Its description in RNAcentral is "partial 16S ribosomal RNA". It matches the Rfam family "Bacterial small subunit ribosomal RNA", at positions 505 to 796 of the family's 1533-position model. The record is from RNAcentral.